Heterocephalus glaber (naked mole-rat) is the source of this 1329-nucleotide long non-coding RNA. NCBI's taxonomy places the organism in Eukaryota, Metazoa, Chordata, Mammalia, Rodentia, Bathyergidae. The record is from Ensembl.
GGCAAACCCACUGUGGCCGCCAGUCUGCCACUCCCAGUUCUUCGUCCCCUCUGCUGGCCUGCCCAGGGGACCUAUGAGGAGUGCGCUGCUCCCCAUCCUGGCUCUUUGGCUGGAGUGCUGCUCUUGGGGGGCCCUGGCCAAGCAGGAGCUGUGCCUGACAGAGCCCACAGCUCUGCUGACCCCCACGGGCUUGCCUACCCUGCAGCUGCUGCCCAGGUCCUUCAACAACAGUCAGGCGCAACCCAUCCCCAGGACCGGCAGUCGUGACAGCCCUGAGGACUGGCAGCCGGACUGGCAGCAGGCCUGGCCUGGCUCCCAGGACAGACCCACCAGAACCCCCUCCGGCCCUCCACCCCCAACCGGAGAGCAUCUGUCAGGCCAGGGCUGGCUCUGAGGAAGCAGUCACACGCACUGGCCUUGGGGAAGGAGUGGGGGCUGAGCCGGGGGGCGCUGGGCAUGGAGUAGGAAAGCUGGGGCGGAAAGGCAGGAGGCCAGGAAGCCAGGAGGAGGGGCCUCAAGCCCAGGAGGCCCCCAAGGUGAGGACUGGCCACGACAGGCGCGGUGUCAGCAGCGCUGAGGUCCUGCUCCAUUCUCAGUGUGCACGAACCAAGGGUCCUCACAUGGGGGCCAGCGGGGACCCCUCCAAAGGCAUGUCACUUCUCUGCCUGUAGCUGGCAAGCCCCUGCCCUUCAGGGUUCCUUUGUUACAUGUGACUAGGCCAGGGCCCCUCUGUCUUCCUCCAGGGACCUCCUACCCAUCCAGGCUGGGGGCCAAGUACCAGCAGAAGGAGCGAAGCAAAGGCUGUGGGCAGGAAAGACUGGGAAACAGAAGAGAGCACGGGCCUGGGCUUGUAGACCCAGGCACUGCAGAGCAGGCCAUGCCCUCCCUGCCGGCCUCGUGCCUCCUGGCCCAGGCGGCCCUGGCCUGAGUCGACGCCAAGAUGAAGCAGGUUCCUGCCCUAACUGACCCUGACCUGACUAGACGCUACUUGGCAGGGCUCAGCCAGCUGCUGACACUGGAGGUGGAAGGGAACCAGCUGCAUGAUGGAAACAUCUCCCCCCUGGCCUUCCAGCCCCUCCACAGGCUUCUCUACCUGAGGCUGGACCGGAAUCGGCUUUGGGCCAUCCCUCCUGGCCUGCCAGCCUCCCUGCAGGAGCUGCACUUGGGCGCCAACCUCAUCGAGGAGGAGACUGAGUGAGCACUGAGUGGCUGCCACAGCCUCAGCGUGCUGGUCCUCAGCAACAACUGGCUCCAGGAGGGCCGCCUGGUGCCCGGGGCUUGGACUGAUCCGCCCCUCCACCCUGUUCGUGUGUCUCUGGCUUCUCUGGC